GCCUAAGACAUGCAAGUCGAACGGGAUGGCCCAAUGAUUACUCGGAACUUUCUUGUGCUUGCACAAGAAAGGGAAAAGUAUGAUUUGGAUUUUCCAUCCAGUGGCAAACGGGUGAGUAACACGUGGGUUACCUACCUCUAAGACGGGGACAACAGUUGGAAACGAUUGCUAAUACCGGAUGUGCUCUACGGAGUAAAGGAGCCUUUAAAGGCUCCGCUUAGAGAUGGGCCUGCGGUGCAUUAGCUAGUUGGUGGGGUAAUGGCCUACCAAGGCGACGAUGCAUAGCCGAACUGAGAGGUUAAUCGGCCACACUGGGACUGAGACACGGCCCAGACUCCUACGGGAGACAGCAGUUAGGAAUAUUCGUCAAUGGGGGAAACCCUGAACGAGCAAUGCCGCGUGAGUGAUGACGGUCCUCUGGAUUGUAAAACUCUGUUGUUUGGAAAGAACUGUAUAAGUAGGAAAUGACUUGUACUUGACGGUACCAUUCAAGAAAGCCACGGCUAACUACGUG
Molecule: ribosomal RNA, 514 nt
Filed under: uncultured bacterium
Lineage: Bacteria
Description: bacterial SSU rRNA
Rfam family: Bacterial small subunit ribosomal RNA
Source: RNAcentral